GGUUCCGGGGACUUCUGGGAAAAGGGAAAUCCUAGAGACGGAAAGCGGAAGCGGCGCGUCCCGAGGCAUUCUGGGAGUCGCAGUUCGUCCGGGGCAACUUCUGCCUCUCAGGCUGGUUGCAGCCGGCGCCCCGGGCCAGCGCAGCCUGGGCCCCAGCCAUCCUGCCCCCUCUCCGGCCGGGAGAAGCGGGCGCUGGGCUCUGGGGCUCCCUGAGCCCGCGGAGGCCAGCGCCCAGGGCGCACAAGAAGAGCAGGGGUGGAAGAAGAAAGGAAUUUCAAGGAGGGCAUUGCUUAAAGGGACGUUUGGACAGAGCCAGUUUCGGUGCUGGGCCGCAGCUCAGUGCCUAAUUUUAAUCUCAGGACUGCAGCCUGCGACCCGUGGACGCGCCCAGAAACACGCUACGGGCUGGGGUGUGACAAUCUCAGAGCCGGAACUCACCCCACACCCUGAAAUCAACAACCCCACUUGGUAAGUCCUGUGAGCAGCCCCUGAUCAGUCAGCACCCUUCAAGCCUGGGACCCAGCAUGAACCCAAGGACCAUGCAGCCUUUGUAAAAGUUACCUGGUUUUAGGACCUCCCUGCAGCAGGUGUCUGGCGGAGGAGGGAGAGGAUCAGGUGGGAGGGAAGGAAAAGCUUGAGAUCUCUGGAGAGAAAGAGCACAGGUAUGAGCACAGUCUGCGCCCGAAACCACUGUGCUGACACGGCGCCUUCACAACCAGAAGGCCACCUUUCUGGAAGUACAUUCUACAUGGACCAGCCUGAUUCCAGCAAAUUGUAGGGCCAAAAUCCAAGCCCGGUAUUUCUGGGUCCAGAGUUGUGCCUCCAAACCACCAACAGGACUCAGACCAGAGUUAGCCUGUCAAACUCUCUAGCCAUUGGGCCACCAGACCAAGGACCCAUCUCCAAUCUUGCCUGGGGGCCUGAAGGUGAAGUCCAGGUGAUGCAGGCGGAGGGGGGCGGGGUGGGGGGGCACUCUGGUGCUAUGGCGCCAUCUGGUGGCCAUCUGUUCUAACAUUCUCAGGCCUCCCUCUGCCUCCCACAGCAGAAGCCUGGUCUGCACUGGCCUGGGCCCCUUGCCAGCCUGAUUUCCUAAGUCCUCUCCCUCACAGCACACUGAAAGGCACGAUGGGGGGACUAUCUCAGAGUCAGCCAGGGCCCUCACCCCAACUGAGACCACCCCACUCCCUGAAAUCAGACACCUUGGUAAGUUAGUGGAACCAGGUGGCCCUCCAUCAGCACCCCGCAACCCUGCACCUGGCUUGAGAUCCAGGACCUCCCAGGCAUCAUUCACACUCCCUGGAUUGAGGUAGGUUCCUUGACAGAGUCCCCUGCAGAGGAGGAAGAGGCUCAGGUGGAACAGGAGGAAGGAGGAGGUGGAGAUCUCGAGAGAGAAAGGUACAGGGAGAGGCUGAGACCUGCCCCCACAGCACCACCACAUUAAUGCACUGCAUUCAUGACCAAAAGCCCAGCUU
This 1472-nucleotide long non-coding RNA is filed under the name Sus scrofa (pig). Its description in RNAcentral is "lncRNA (ENSSSCG00070021908.1)". Lineage: Eukaryota; Metazoa; Chordata; Mammalia; Artiodactyla; Suidae. The record is from RNAcentral.